CGCGCAGGCGGUCGUGCAAGUCGCGUGUGAAAGCCCCCGGCUCAACUGGGGAGGGUCACGCGAUACUGUUCGACUCGAAGGCAGGAGAGGGGAGUGGAAUUCCCGGUGUAGUGGUGAAAUGCGUAGAUAUCGGGAGGAACACCAGUGGCGAAGGCGACUUCCUGGCCUGUUCUUGACGCUGAGGCGCGAAAGCUAGGGUAGCAAACG
RNAcentral lists this ribosomal RNA (207 nucleotides) under uncultured bacterium. Its description in RNAcentral is "partial 16S ribosomal RNA". It matches the Rfam family "Bacterial small subunit ribosomal RNA", at positions 568 to 774 of the family's 1533-position model. The record is from RNAcentral.